GUACUGAGACACGGACCAGACUCCUACGGGAGGCAGCAGUGAGGAAUAUUGGACAAUGGGAGCAAUCCUGAUCCAGCCAUGCCGCGUGCAGGAAGACUGCCCUAUGGGUUGUAAACUGCUUUUAUACAGGAAGAAAAAGCCCGACGUGUCGGGUGUUGACGGUACUGUAAGAAUAAGGAUCGGCUAACUCCGUGCCAGCAGCCGCGGUAAUACGGAGGAUCCAAGCGUUAUCCGGAAUCAUUGGGUUUAAAGGGUCCGUAGGCGGGACAAUAAGUCAGUGGUGAAAGUCUGCAGCUCAACUGUAGAAUUGCCAUUGAUACUGUUGUUCUUGAGUGCUUGUGAAGUGGUUAGAAUGAGUAGUGUAGCGGUGAAAUGCAUAGAUAUUACUCAGAAUACCGAUUGCGAAGGCAGAUCACUAACAAUUCACUGACGCUGAUGGACGAAAGCGUAGGUAGCGAACAGGAUUAGAUACCCUGGUAGUCUACGCCGUAAACGAUGGUUACUAGCUGUUCGGACCAAUUGAGGUCUGAGUGGCUAAGCGAAAGUGAUAAGUAACCCACCUGGGGAGUACGUUCGCAAGAAUGAAACUCAAAGGAAUUGACGG
Molecule: ribosomal RNA, 604 nt
Filed under: uncultured Bacteroidota bacterium
Lineage: Bacteria; Pseudomonadati; Bacteroidota
Description: bacterial SSU rRNA
Rfam family: Bacterial small subunit ribosomal RNA
Source: RNAcentral